This 504-nucleotide ribosomal RNA is filed under the name uncultured Bacillota bacterium. Its description in RNAcentral is "bacterial SSU rRNA". It matches the Rfam family "Bacterial small subunit ribosomal RNA", at positions 400 to 896 of the family's 1533-position model. The record is from RNAcentral. Lineage: Bacteria; Bacillati; Bacillota.
CGUGAGCGAAGAAGGCCUUCGGGUCGUAAAGCUCUGUUGUUAGGGAAGAACAAGUACGAGAGUAACUGCUCGACCUUGACGGUACCUAACCAGAAAGCCACGGCUAACUACGCGCCAGCAGCCGCGGUAAUACGUAGGUGGCAAGCGUUGUCCGGAAUUAUUGGGCGUAAAGCGCGCGCAGGCGGUCCUUUAAGUCUGAUGUGAAAGCCCACGGCUCAACCGUGGAGGGUCAUUGGAAACUGGGGGACUUGAGUGCAGAAGAGGAGAGUGGAAUUCCACGUGUAGCGGUGAAAUGCGUAGAGAUGUGGAGGAACACCAGUGGCGAAGGCGACUCUCUGGUCUGUAACUGACGCUGAGGCGCGAAAGCGUGGGGAGCAAACAGGAUUAGAUAUCCUGGUAGUCCACGCCGUAAACGAUGAGUGCUAAGUGUUAGAGGGUUUCCGCCCUUUAGUGCUGCAGCUAACGCAUUAAGCACUCCGCCUGGGGAGUACGGCCGCAAGGCUG